GGGAGGUUCUCGCGAUCUCCCCGUCCACGCCUGCGCCGCGAGAGGCCGCUAGGUGGAAGGGGACUUCGGUUCCGCACGUCGUCAUGUUGUUGGAUGGCACCAGUAUGUGACGUUCCUAGGAACUUAGCUCUGAGGAAAAAACAAAGCAAACCGGGGAAGUACGUAGCCUUGAACCGGAGUAACCAGGGACAGAAAGGAAGGAAAAGGGUUUCAUACCUUCACGGAACGACGCUCACUUCGUCCGCCUGAGGAGGAAAAAUAAGUUUAAACCUUUCUGUGAAAAAGAACGUGGAGCCCUUUCUGCCGAAUGGAAACCCGCUAAACCCCGUUAUGGAGUCUGCUACAAUUAAGCAUCUAACCAGGAAUUGUCUAUGGACACAACUCUCCAGGCAAUUCAUGCAGAAAGUGUGUUGACGAUUUCCUGUUUCUUGCAGAGCGCUUCACCGUUAAGGCUCUUAGUAGCUGGCGAUUGUAAAGCACAUUUUCCGCUUCAUGAAAAUACAGUGCUCUUCUUGUGUUUGUAACCUUGGAAAGCUAGAGUGCAAUGGCGCUAUCUCGACUCACUGUAGCCUCCGCCUUGAGGGCUCAAGCGAUCCUCUCACCUCAGCCUCCCGAGUAGCUGGGACCGUAGACGCCUGCUCCCCAUCCCCGCUAUAUUCGUUCUUUAAUACAGUCUCUCAGCUUGUUCAGCUGCCACUUCUGUGCAGCUCAUUAGCCUGAUCGGUGAAAACUAGGCGAGACGCGCACACUGACCCUGCAGUGCAUCUUGGGAGUUGUAGUCAUAACUAAUCAAUGGUCUUGUUAAAACGUGCUUAUGUUUUGACCAGAUCGCUUAAGUGUGGACACCCUUCAGCAGUACACUACAACGUGGGUCAGUGUACAGAACACAUGCUGAUAGAAAUAAUUUCAAAAUCUGGAUUCAUAGUUUUUUUUUUUAAUCUAGAGACCUCAGAAAAUGUACUUGAAGAAAAUCAUCAUAAUAUAAUACAUAACAAUAGAGCCAAUUAAUUGAUGUGAUGAAAGUGGACAAAAUGUAUUUUGACCUCAGAGAAAAUAACAUUUCUGUCUUGGAAGAGUCAGAGAAUGCUUCACACAAUUUUUGAGCCUGAUGUUAGACUCUCCAGCCUUCUGUCCAAGCCUCACCCUUUGGUUACUCCCCAGGAAGACUGAACUUGGGAAGAGGAUUGUGCAGACCCUGGAGUCAGGCUUGGCGUUUGGGAUAGGGAAUACUAGAGUGCCCACAGCAUGGUCUGGAAAAGGGAAAGUGGGCUGCAGGUGGCUACAGUCCCAUGAUUCCAUGGAUUUCAGACCCCUCCAAAGCACAGGGCUCAGUGCUUAUCCAAGUCUGAGGGCCCCCCAUAACCACAUCUUCCCCAGCAGAUGUUCUUUGCUUCAGGCAGUCAUCAAAGUUCCACUUCAAAGAGUUGCUAACCAAAUAAGCCCACAAUCUUCCUUUUUUGUUGUUUUGAAUAAGUAAUGCCUUUACACAUAUGAAAUUAAAAAGAGAGGCCGGGCAUGGUGGCUCACGCCUGUAAUCCCAGCACUUUGGGAGGGCGAGGUGGGCAGAUUGCCCGAGGUCAGGAGAUCCAGACCAGCCAGGCCAACGUGGUGAAACCCUGUCUCUGCUAAAAAUACAAAAAUCAGCUGGGCGUGGUGGUGGGGGCCUGUAAUCCCAGCUACUUGGGAGGCCGAGGUAGGAGAAUCGCUUCAACCUGGGAGGCAGAGGUUGCAGUGAGCCAAGAUUGCACCACUGCACUCCAGCCUGGGGGACAGUGUGACAGACUGUCUCAAAAAAAAAAAAAAAAAAAAAGGCAAAGAUAUAUAGUGAAAACUAAGUCUUCUUUUAGUCUUUGUCUCCUGCCACUCAUAGAAUUUUCCUCUUGGAAUCACCUCUAUUCCAUUUUCCUGUGUAUGUUGCCAGAGCAGGGCUGGCUUCAUGGUGGUGACCUGUACAGAUAGGCACUUGGUUUAAUGUUUUGCUGUCACUAACUUGAAAUUCAGGAAAGUUUCUGGACAAGGGCCCUGCGGUUUUAUUUUGCACUGGGCCCACAAAGUAUGUAUCUAGUCCUAUUCCAGAGAUAUUCUAUGCAUAUACAGGUAAUUAUAUGUAGAUAUGUAUGUAGUGGUCCAGUAGUGGUCCAGGGCCUGUUAGGAACUGGGCGGCACAGCAGAAGGUGAGUGGCAGGGGAGCCAGCAUUUCGGCCUGAGCUCUGCCCCCUGUCAGAUGAGCAGGGGCAUUACAUUCUGGUAGGAGUGAGAACCCUAUUGUAAACUGCACAUGCAAGGGAUCUAACCUGUGCACUCCUUAUGAGAAUCCAACUCCCCCUUUCCAUGGAAAAAUUGUCUUCCACAAAACCAGUCCCUGGUGUCAAAAAGGUUGGGGACCUCUGUAGUAGGCUACCAUCUAGGUUUGUUUAGGUACACUCUAUGAUGUUCACACAACAAAAAAUCACCUGAUGAUGCAUUUUUCAGAAAGCAUCCCCAUUGUUAAGGGACACAUGACUGUAAUGGAAUACUAUUCUUUUCCUUCCUUUUUAUUUUUUGUGGAGACAGGGUCUCUACAUGUUGGUGCCCAGGCUGGUCUCACACUCCUGAGCUUAAGGGAUCUGCCUGCUUUGACCUCCCAAAGUGCUGGGAUUACAAGUGUGAGCCACCAUAUCUGAACCCCUGUCCCCCACUUUUUUUUUCUUUCUUUUUUUCCAUACACAGUCCAGGCUGGAGUGCAGAGGUGUCAUCUCGGCUCACUGCAACCUCCGUCUCCCGGAUUCUAACGAUUCUCCUGCCUCAUCCUCCUGAGUAGCUGGGAUUAUAGGUGUCCGCCACCACGCCCAGCUAAUUUUUGUAUUUUUAGUAGAGAUGGGGUUUCACCAUGUUGGUGAGGCUGGUCUCAAACUCUUGACCUCAUGUGAUCCACCUGCCUCAGCCUCCCAAAAUACUGGGAUUACAGGGGUGAGCCACCGUGCCCAGGACAGCCUUUUUUGGGUCAGUGUGUAUAUAGAGCUAACUCAUUCUACUUAAUGGCUACAUAGUAUCCCACUGUGAUAGCCGCAAAAGGCAGACAAAUCCUAGGCAGACAGGGGCAGGUCCCUGGUGAAACCCUUCAAGCUGAGGACAGUUUAAAGGCUAGCCACAAGACCAGGAUAAAUCCACAGACCAGAUUGAGAACCUCUCUUCCCAUUUGGCGUGCUUUCUUCUGAUUGAUCCCCACCCUUCACCUAUUUUACACAUAUCCUUUCCUAAUUGUUUUUUUACACUGUUGUACCUACCUUUGAGUGGUGCUGUUGUUUUAGCCUUUUUUGCAUACUCACAAACCAAUCAGCAUGCACGCCUUCAUUCUGAGCCCAUAAAAGCUGUGGACUCAGCCGCACUGAGAGAGAGACCACCUGACUUUGAGUGAGGGACCACCCUUGCAUCCUCUCUCUCCUGAGAGCUGUUUCAUAGUUCAAAUAAAACUCUUCUCCACCCUCCUCACCCUUUGAUUGUCAGCGUAACCUCAUUCUUGGACGCUGAAGAAAAAUUCGGGACCCACCAAACGCAGAUACAAAGAAGGCUGUACACACUGUGGCCCUUUGCCCUCUGCUGGUGGAGGGCAACCGUCCCACACAACGCGAUGGGAAGCAGCAGUGGGGCAGAGCCAGUCCUGAAGCCACGGGCCUGAGUGGGGCAAUGGGACUGAUAGAGCUGUUAACAUGCCACUGUCCGUUGGCCUGCAGACGGCAGAACUAAAAGAGUGCUUAGCAUACUGUAACACCUCUGGGGCUUCAGGGUCAUGAGCACCCCUGUUUGGGUGCCACCACAUUUCCCUCAAUGUGACACACCUGGUCCAGCCACAAGCCCCGCACAGAGCCCACUCCUGCCCUGUACUCGUUCACUCACACACCCCCUCCUGCCAGGGGCUGAGGCCAUGGUGGCUGCAGGAUUCGUGCCUGAGCACAAGCCAGACACAUCCUGGUGGGCCGAGUAGUUGGGGUGUUGCUGGCCGGAGGUCUCCAGCUGUCAAAGUGGCCAAGAAAAAUCCUGCAUCAACUGUACAAAUGUACCCUAAUUUAUUUAACUCAUUUAUUGUAUAUUUGUGUCAUUUCCAAUGGUUCGUAAUUUCAAACAUAUGAUUGUGCAAAAGUUGUUUUAUGUGUGCCAAUAUCUUUGUAGGUUAAUUUCCUAGAGCAAAGUUUUUCAACCUAAGCACCACUGACAUCUGGGGCUGGAUAAUUUGUUGUGAGGGGCUGUCAUGUGCGUUAUACGAUGUAUCCUAUCCACCCCUAUAUGUUAUGAAAAAUAUUUCAGUGGCCAGAAUCCUUUCAAUGACUUAAAAAGCCCUUUUCAUCCUGCUUCUGCCUACCUCUCCAGCUGCAUCUUAGUACCCGCACACUCUUUUUUCAUACUCAUGCCCCUGCUUGCUGUCUUUGCACAGGUAUUCUCUUUGUCUGGAGCUUUCUUCCUCACCAAUCAUCUCCUAAUAACUCCCAUUUUAUCUUUUAAAUGUUGCCACUAUUAUCACUUCCUUGGAGGAGCCUUCUUGGACUGCCUAUUUCAAAUCCCCUGGGUUUUUUUUUUUUCUUUGACAAAAGCCACAUUCGAACAAAUCCCCCUUGGAAUGUUACAAUUACCAAAAAAUCCAAUUUAAACUAGUUUAAAUGAUAAGAGAAUUUAUUGGCUCACAUAAAUGAGAAGUCUGAAGAUAAGGUGAACCUCAGGUUGAUUUGAGUGACUUAACAGUAUCAGCAGGAACUUGAUUUCCUUCUACCUCUCAAUUUUCUUUCUGAUGUCAGAUUCAUCCUAAGGCUUACUCCUUUUGUAUCAUAAAAUGGUGGCCAGGAUCUCCCAAGGUUAUGUAGUUCUUUGUCCAUAUCAAAAGAGAGUUUCUUUCACAUAUUUCACAGUUUCAAUGUGAUUAAAUUAAUUUAGGUCACAUGUCCGCCCCUAAACCUAGAGUUUUGUGGUCUAGAGAAUGUCAAGCACUGAUUGGCCAGGGCAAAUCAAGGCCUAUCCUUGGAACUGGAAGUUACGUUAAUCCCACCUAAAUCCCAUGAAUGUUACUCUAUGAGGUAUCGGUAAAAUCGAUGCUAGGAAUACAAUCAGAAUCCAUUAUAUCCUAUUACACGCUUAUAGCACCAUGCACCCCUCCAUUGUAGCACCUGUCAUACUUGUAGCUUUAUAUUUAUUUGUAUGAUUUCUGAUUAAUAACUGUCUUCUCAUCCAGAUGAAAAACCUCUAUUAGUCCAGGGAACUGCAUUUUUUCUCACCAUUGUAUCUCUAGUCUAGCACAGGGUGUCAAACAUAGCAGGUUCUCAAUAACUAUUGAAAGAAUGAAACUUCCCUUAGAAGUUUACUACUCAAUUUGACAUUCCCUUUAGCAGGCAAUUUAAUAGCUACCAUAUCAGACUUAUAUUACAUAUUUGAAAGUCCCAGACUGAGAUCUCUAAUUUCUAUCUCCAGGCAGUCAGUUCUUGACACACCACUGAGUAAGAUUCAUGGAAUAAAUCUGACCAUAUUAUAUUCCCUUGACAUCUUUCAAGUUCCUGAUUUCUUUUAGGAUAAAGUUCUUUAUGAUGCCAUUCAAAGCUCUUCAUGGUUUGGCCCCUAUCUGGCUUUCUAUUCUCAAGAGCAAAACUAUAGACUUCUGGCCUUCUUCAGGGUGAUCUUUCUCUUUCAAUCAUAGUCCCUCCCCAACCACUCACCAAAUAUCAGUUUUUAGAAGUCUUGUCUCUUGCAGGGAGUAGAGAGGGGGCAGUAAUAGUUUAUUCAGGGAUUCCCCCAUAUCUUUCCUGGGUAAAGGUAUUCUAGAAGGAGGCAGAGGAAGGAGGCUAGAGGUCCCACUGUUUGGCAUUCAGGCUUUCACUUAAUGCUCACUUUAGCCCUGCUUCACAGUCCCCUACUACCUACUGUGACUAAUAUUCUCAAGUCAAGAGUCUCUCCCAUUCUAGAAAAUAAAUCAGGCUCCUGGGAUGUGGUGAUGGUGUUAUAGGGGCAUGUGUGGGUAUGAGUGUGUGUGUAUGUGUGUAUGUGUGUGGGGUGGCAGUCCUUUGGUUAUAUGGGAUUGGGGAAUAGACCCAGGAAUGUAGGUGUUCUUUAUAUAGGCUUUCACCCUUCCCUAAAAUUUUCUGCCCUGAUCCUUUCUAAUUUUUUUGUGGAAAGAAUUAGCUCUUUUAAUUUAUUUAUUUUAUUUUAUUUUAUUUCAUUUUAUUUUAUUUUUUUGAGAUGGAAUCUUGCUCUGUUGCCCAGGCUGGAGUGCAGUGGUGUGAUCUUGGCUCACUGUAACCUCUGCCUCCCAGGUUCAAGCGAUUCUCCUGUCUCAGCCUACUGACUAGCUGGGACUACAGGCAUGUACCACCAUGCCAGGUUAAUUUUUUGUAUUUUUAGUAGAGACGGGCUUUCACCAUGUUAGCCAGGAUGGUCUCCAUCUCCUGACCUCGUGAUCUGCCUGCCUCAGCCUCCCAAAGUGCUGGGAUUACAGACGUGAGCGACUGCGCCCGGCAUCUUUUUAUAUUUUUAAAAGGUCACAUGUAUGUCCUUUCCUGUGAACUGUUUAUAUUCUUUGCCAAAGUGCUGGGAUUACAGACAUGAGCCACUGCACCUGGCCUUACCUCUUCUUUUUUUCUUUAAUCACCUGUGGAGGCUUUUAGAUUGUGCCUUUUGCUGUCAAGUCUACUACUACUCUUCCAUCGGCUUGUCAUACAACCAUUUGUUGAAAUUUCUUUUGUAUUUUGUUUGCCUUUUGGGCUCUACACUUUUUAAAAAUUUAUUUAGCUGUCAAAGAGAUGACAUACUGUGUAUGGUUAAUUUUCCAUGUAUUCUGGAGUUCUAAUAUAUUUUCAUGGUUUUUAAAUGUUUAGUUCUUUAAUCAAGUUGGAAUUUUUAAAAUAUAUAUGAAGUAGGAUGCUAAUUUAAAACUUUUCCUCCAAAUGGAUAUCCAUCCAGUUGUCUCAACAUCAUGUAUAGAAAAAACAAAUUGAAAAUGCUAUCUUAUCAUAUUAUUUACUAAAUUUACAUGCAUAUACAUAUACAUACAUAACAUAUAUCUGAGUUUGAGUCUGAAUUCACUACUGUUUCAAUUGCUGUAGUUGGUCAAUUCUAGUAUGACAGAGUUUUAAUUGCUACAGUUUUGGAAUGAUUAUGGGGUUACUUUUGAGACAGGGUCUGGCUAUCUUGCCCAGACUGGUCUCAAACUUACCGGCUCAAGCAAUCCUCCCAUCUCAGCCUCUUAAAGUGUUGGGAUUAUAGGUAUGAACCACUGCACCUGGCCCUGGAUUGCAUUUUGACUGUGGCCAUAGAAGUUUCCACUCAGAUCUUCAAGAGAACCUACUCUGGGGACUACAAGUGACUGACAGCCAGCUGCCACCCCUUUGGAACUACCAUGCAUUCAUGUCAAUGCCACAUAUCUCUGGAGUCGCCCCCAGCUAGUGGCUGAGCACAGCAGGAGUACUAAACUUGUUCUUUCUUGCCCAGUGCAGAACUCCUCUAACGGGCAACUUUGGCUUGGGGAACUUCUCAUCAGCCUGGAUGAGACUAUCUUAGAACUACAGUGUAGUCGAGGCUCUUUCUACCCAAUAUUUCCUUCUCUUCUUUUUACAGAAGUCAGACCUGCACCACAGUCUGAAGUCUCUCUGCCAAUUCCUGAGCCUUCCCACUUUAUCCUUCACAAACAUUUCCCCCAAUAAAUAUCUUGCAUGUCUA
RNAcentral lists this long non-coding RNA (7674 nucleotides) under Homo sapiens (human). RNAcentral describes it as "HSALNT0302575". Lineage: Eukaryota; Metazoa; Chordata; Mammalia; Primates; Hominidae. The record is from RNAcentral.